GACGGGGGCCCGCACAAGCGGUGGAGCACGUGGUUUAAUUCGAUGCAAACCGAAGAACCUUACCUGGGUUUGACAUGUACGUGGUACUGAGCUGAAAGGUGAGGGACUGUGCCUUCGGGUACAGAGCGUACACAGGUGCUGCAUGGCUGUCGUCAGCUCGUGUCGUGAGAUGUUGGGUUAAGUCCCGCAACGAGCGCAACCCUUGCCUUUAGUUGCCAGCAGUUCGGCUGGGCACUCUAAAGGGACUGCCGGUGUUAAACCGGAGGAAGGUGGGGAUGACGUCAAGUCCUCAUGGCCUUUAUGACCAGGGCUACACACGUACUACAAUGGACGAUACAAAGGGCAGCGACACUGCGAGGUGAAGCCAAUCCCGUAAAAUCGGUCUCAGUCCGGAUUGGAGUCUGCAACUCGACUCCAUGAAGUUGGAAUCGCUAGUAAUCGUGGAUCAGCAUGCCACGGUGAAUACGUUCCCGGGCCUU
Molecule: ribosomal RNA, 479 nt
Filed under: uncultured Desulfobulbus sp.
Lineage: Bacteria; Pseudomonadati; Thermodesulfobacteriota; Desulfobulbia; Desulfobulbales; Desulfobulbaceae
Description: bacterial SSU rRNA
Rfam family: Bacterial small subunit ribosomal RNA
Source: RNAcentral